RNAcentral lists this long non-coding RNA (490 nucleotides) under Sinocyclocheilus grahami. Its description in RNAcentral is "lncRNA (ENSSGRG00000016352.1)". The record is from RNAcentral. Lineage: Eukaryota; Metazoa; Chordata; Actinopteri; Cypriniformes; Cyprinidae.
GGAGGUGACAGUUCAGCCAUGACACGUGGAAGACGAAAGGUCCCGGUCCAAUGUGUAGACACUAUUUCAGUUCAGUGUCAGGAUGACCAGGUCGGGUUGGAUUCUGAAGUGGUUUAUGAUGACAAAUCCUUUCCCUUACGGAGGUGCACUCCAUUUGUGGCUGGGUCAUAUCAUGGGGGAAGAGUUCCUGAGCAGAAUCAGGAUACUGCUGCUGGUCAAGUGCAGGAGUCAUUUGCUGUGGAUGGACAAAUAAGUGCAAAUGCAGGCUUCUCUACAACCGCAGAUGCUUUGGGGACUGACAGCCUAACAUUCACAGAUGGGGUGUCUCCAGGAUUCAUAGCACCUGAUGGCAUGGGAGGCAACAACAAUGAACUGAUGAACAGAGAUGAACGUGAUGAAGAGAAGCGUGUGCACCCAAAGGGAAAGAAGAAAAAAGUAAGAAGAGAGGGGAGAACAGCUUCACCAUUAAAGAGGAAAAGCAUCCAGUCAG